GUGGGGAAUCUUGCGCAAUGGGCGAAAGCCUGACGCAGCCAUGCCGCGUGAAUGAUGAAGGUCUUAGGAUUGUAAAAUUCUUUCACCGGGGACGAUAAUGACGGUACCCGGAGAAGAAGCCCCGGCUAACUUCGUGCCAGCAGCCGCGGUAAUACGAAGGGGGCUAGCGUUGCUCGGAAUUACUGGGCGUAAAGGGCGCGUAGGCGGAUCGUUAAGUCAGGGGUGAAAUCCCAGAGCUCAACUCUGGAACUGCCCUUGAUACUGGCGAUCUUGAGUGUGGGAGAGGUAUGUGGAACUCCGAGUGUAGAGGUGAAAUUCGUAGAUAUUCGGAAGAACACCAGUGGCGAAGGCGACAUACUGGCUCAUUACUGACGCUGAGGCGCGAAAGCGUGGGGAGCAAACAGGAUUAGAAACCCCGGUAGUCC
RNAcentral lists this ribosomal RNA (425 nucleotides) under uncultured bacterium. RNAcentral's name for it is "partial 16S ribosomal RNA". It matches the Rfam family "Bacterial small subunit ribosomal RNA", at positions 354 to 796 of the family's 1533-position model. The record is from RNAcentral.